CGUUGCUACAAAACCUUUAUAAUUGGAGUCUAUUUUAGUCUCUGACGUCGGAAUUGGGAUCAGUCUCGAAGAGCUUUGUGUGUAUACCCUUUUCAAGGUUUACUAUUUGAUCUCUUCCAUCGCUGUUUUUCUCUCAAAGCCCAGCUCGAGUCCUCAGGGUAUUCAACGAUCGAUCGAAGGGUUUCGGUCGAAUUCCGAAGUGGGUUCACUCUUUCGGCGAGCUUAAAUGGAAACUGUGAAGCCUACUCCUAUUGCUGAAUUACGUCCGUACACUAAAGCAGAGAAAAGAAAGAUUAGUGUGUGUAGGAUAUGGAAAUCAAGCAUUCCUACAAGUGAUAAAAAAUAUGUGACAUUCCACUGUAUCUUAGUUGAUGCAAACAAUGCGACCAAAUGUGAAGAACAAUGCGGUUGAAGCUUAUGCGUCAAAUAUUGAUUAUGAGGUUGUUGCCUCAAAGACUCAAGCUGGUGAUUGCUAUGAAAUCAUGAAUUUUCGAACGAUCAAGGUCAGAGGGCAGUAUAAAGUUGUGCCACAUGAUACACAGCUUAUAUUCACCAAUAAAACAGUUUUGUAAAACUAUCUGCCGUCUUUCCACCAAUUCGACGACAUCGAUUUUUUCUUCAAGAUUAACAUGCUUUAUAUGCGUUUGAACAGAAAUGAUAUUCUCACAGGUAAUACUAUAACGUAUAUAUCUAUUUGUCAACAUGUGUA
Malus domestica (apple) is the source of this 709-nucleotide long non-coding RNA. RefSeq lists it as uncharacterized. The record is from RefSeq and is a predicted model, not a curated record. NCBI's taxonomy places the organism in Eukaryota, Viridiplantae, Streptophyta, Magnoliopsida, Rosales, Rosaceae.